GAUGAACGCUGGCGGCGUGCCUAAUACAUGCAAGUCGAGCGAACAGACGAUGAGCUUGCUCCUCUGACGUUAGCGGCGGACGGGUGAGUAACACGUGUAUAACCUACCUAUAAUACUGGUAUAACCUCGGGAAAGCGGAGCUAACACCGGAUAAUAUAUUGAACCACAUGGGGCAAUGGUGAAAGACGGUGGUUCUGUCUCGUCUAGAUGGAUCAGGGCCGCAUGAGGUGGUUGUGGAGGUAAAGGCUUGCUAGGGCGGCGAUGCGUAGCCGAAGUGAGGGGGUGAUAGGCCACACUGGAGCUGAACCACGGACAAGACGACUACGGGAGGCACCAGUAGGCAACGUUACGCAAUGGUGGAGAGCAUGACAGAGCGACGCGGCGCGAGAGACGACGGUCUUCCGAUCGUAAUGCCCUGUUACUAGGUAUGAACAAAUUUGUAAGUAACUAUGCCCGUCUUGACGGUAACUAAUAAGAAAGCAACGGCUAACUACGUG
Molecule: ribosomal RNA, 497 nt
Filed under: uncultured bacterium
Lineage: Bacteria
Description: partial 16S ribosomal RNA
Rfam family: Bacterial small subunit ribosomal RNA
Source: RNAcentral